CGCGUAGGUGGUUUGUUAAGUUGGAUGUGAAAGCCCCGGGCUCAACCUGGGAACUGCAUCCAAAACUGGCAAGCUAGAGUACGGUAGAGGGUGGUGGAAUUUCCUGUGUAGCGGUGAAAUGCGUAGAUAUAGGAAGGAACGCCAGUGGCGAAGGCGACCACCUGGACUGAUACUGACACUGAGGUGCGAAAGCGUGGGGAGCAAACA
This 207-nucleotide ribosomal RNA is filed under the name uncultured bacterium. RNAcentral describes it as "partial 16S ribosomal RNA". It matches the Rfam family "Bacterial small subunit ribosomal RNA", at positions 568 to 774 of the family's 1533-position model. The record is from RNAcentral.